UUGACCUCGAAUCAGGUAGGAAUACCCGCUGAACUUAAGCAUAUCAAUAAGCGGAGGAAAAGAAACCAACCGGGAUUACCUCAGUAACGGCGAGUGAAGCGGUAACAGCUCAAAUUUGAAAUCUGGCUCCUGCGGAGUCCGAGUUGUAAUUUGUAGAAGAUGCUUUGGGUUGUGGGUUCGGCCUAAGUUCCUUGGAACAGGACGUCAUAGAGGGUGAGAAUCCCGUAUGUGGCCGAGGCCCGCGCCUAUGUAAAGCUCUUUCAACGAGUCGAGUUGUUUGGGAAUGCAGCUCAAAAUGGGUGGUAAAUUUCAUCUAAAGCUAAAUAUGGGCCAGAGACCGAUAGCGCACAAGUAGAGUGAUCGAAAGAUGAAAAGCACUUUGGAAAGAGAGUUAAACAGUACGUGAAAUUGUUGAAAGGGAAGCGCUUGCAACCAGACUUGGGCGCUGCCGAUCACCCCGAGUUCUCUCUGGUGCACUCGACAGCGUACAGGCCAGCAUCGGUUCGGGUGGCUGGAUAAAGGCCGUAGGAACGUAGCUCCCUCCGGGGAGUGUUAUAGCCUACGGUGCCAUGCAGCCCAGCCGGACCGAGGACCGCGCCUUCGGGCUAGGAUGCUGGCGUAAUGGUUGUAAGCGACCCGUCUUGAAACACGGACCAAGGAGUCUAACAUCUAUGCGAGUGUUUGGGUGGCAAACCCAUACGCGGAAUGAAAGUGAACGUAGGUGAGAACCCCUUUGGGGCGCAUCAUCGACCGA
Molecule: ribosomal RNA, 754 nt
Filed under: Erysiphe epigena
Lineage: Eukaryota; Fungi; Ascomycota; Leotiomycetes; Helotiales; Erysiphaceae
Description: eukaryotic LSU rRNA
Rfam family: Eukaryotic large subunit ribosomal RNA
Source: RNAcentral